GAUGAACGCUGGCGGCACGCCUAACACAUGCAAGUCGAACGAAGUGUGAGGAAGCUUGCUUCCAAUCACUUAGUGGCGGACGGGUGAGUAACACGUGAGCAACCUGCCUCUUGGUUUGGAUACCGUUUGGAAACGAACGUUAAUACCGAAUAAUAUAGCGGAUUCGCAUGUUUCUGCUAUCAAAGCUUAAUGUGCUGAAAGAUGGUCUCGCGUCUGAUUAGCUAGAUGGCGGGGUAACGGCCCACCAUGGCGACGAUCAGUAGCCGGUCUGAGAGGAUGAACGGCCACAUUGGGACUGAGAUACGGCCCAGACUCCUACGGGAGGCAGCAGGUGGGGAAUAUUGGGCAAUGGGGGAAACCCUGACCCAGCAACGCCGCGUGAAGGAAGAAGGCCCUCGGGUUGUAAACUUCUUUUACCAGGGACGAAGAACGUGACGGUACCUGGAGAAAAAGCAACGGCUAACUACGUG
RNAcentral lists this ribosomal RNA (470 nucleotides) under uncultured bacterium. RNAcentral's name for it is "bacterial SSU rRNA". It matches the Rfam family "Bacterial small subunit ribosomal RNA", at positions 28 to 507 of the family's 1533-position model. The record is from RNAcentral.